UGGGGAAUAUUGGACAAUGGGCGAAGGCCUGAUCCAGCAAUGCCGCGUGUGUGAAGAAGGUCUUCGGAUUGUAAAGCACUUUCGACGGGGACGAUGAUGACGGUACCCGUAGAAGAAGCCCCGGCUAACUUCGUGCCAG
Molecule: ribosomal RNA, 139 nt
Filed under: uncultured bacterium
Lineage: Bacteria
Description: partial 16S rRNA
Rfam family: Bacterial small subunit ribosomal RNA
Source: RNAcentral